GAAGGAGUCUCUCCUAGAACAGCAGGUUCAUUUCUUUGACGGUUUGAUUUUUCUUCAAUUGUUUAGUAAUAAUACAAUUAGAUCAUAUCUUUUUUCUCCUCAUAUGAGAAGCAGCUGAGUGAGGAGCUUGAGUCUGUGUGAGCUGAGCGAGAGCGUCUUCUGUCUGAGAAUACAGACAGCCCUCAGAAUCAUGCAGAGGAGUUGGUGCUCUCUACCGUGACCUCACUAACUGAAGAGAAAGACCAGCUCCAGGAGAUACUGGGGGAAGUCAGAGAGGAGAGGAACCAGCUCAAGAGAGACUUGGAGGAGAAUGUAGAAAUGAUGAUACAUAUCCAGGCAGAACUGAAACAGCAACGACAUCUGAACUCAGAACAGCAGACUGAGAGGGAACAAGUAUCUGUCAACCCUUUUACAUUCAGGUUACAUUAGAACAUUGUUUAAAUACUGGAUACAUUUCUUAUUUUUUGUUUUGUUCAGAUACAGCAGCUAGGAGAGGAACAGGAAACCAUGACAGAGGAGAGGUGUCAGUUGAAGGGUGACCUGCAGGAAAAUAUGGAGAUUGCUGAAGAAACCCAGGGACUUCCCUUGGAUGGAAUGGAGGAGCUCUGACAACAGAGCCAACUGAACUCUGACCUUGAGAGCCAAAGUUUACAUAAGGAGUCUAUUCUAGAACUGCAGCUAAGCAGCUGAGAGAGGAGGUUGAAUCAUUGCAAGCUGAGAGAGAGCAUCUCCUGUCUGAGAAGACCGAUAGCCCUCAGAAUCAUACAAAUUAGUUGGAGAAGCUGCUCUCCACUGUGACCUCACUGACUGAAGAGAGAGACCAGCUCCAGGAGAUGCUGGGGGGAGUCACAGAGGAGAGAAACCAGCUCAAGAGGGGCCUGGUGGAGAAUGUGGAGAUGAUGAUUGAAAACCAGGAGGAGCUGAGGGUGGCCUUAAAAAGAUUCACCAUCAAGAGGAAAAUAUUAAACAUGGAUACUGCACAUCUGUUACAUCUAGUUGAACUGCAAAGUCAGAAGUCAACAAAUGAGAGCGCCUGGGUUAACCUCUACAUCACCCAAGGAACAGAGAAGGAGUAGGAUGAGGGCGUCCGGCAAAAGGGAAGAACAGCCGAGAGCUGCCAGUGGCACGAGCGUACCAGACGACCUAAACUACUUCAAUGCUCGCUUCGAGGCAAGUAACACUGAAACAUGCAUGACAGCACCAGCUGUUCCGGAAGACUGUGAUCACGCUCUCCGCAGAUGAUGUGAGUAAGACCUUUAAACAAGUCAACAUU
Long non-coding RNA from Oncorhynchus keta (chum salmon), 1273 nucleotides. RefSeq lists it as uncharacterized. NCBI's taxonomy places the organism in Eukaryota, Metazoa, Chordata, Actinopteri, Salmoniformes, Salmonidae. The record is from RefSeq and is a predicted model, not a curated record. The transcript is spliced from 6 exons.